GCCGGAUUAGUGUAGUGGCUAUCACAUUGGACUCUGAAUCCAAUAACCUCAGUUCGACUCUGAGAUUCGGCU
Rhagoletis zephyria (snowberry fruit fly) is the source of this 72-nucleotide non-coding RNA. The record is from the annotation of a RefSeq genome assembly. Lineage: Eukaryota; Metazoa; Arthropoda; Insecta; Diptera; Tephritidae.